GAGACGGACGUUGCCAGAAUAUCUCCCUGUUAAGUCCGUGUUUCUUUUUUUCUCUUUUUUUCUGUGUUUGCGUGUGUGUGUGCCCACGUGUAUGAACUGACCAUUAGGAUAACCACAAAGCAUAGUUCCCCCGGUGCUAUGAAGGCGUGGACUCCCAUUUGAAUCGUGAAAAGUGAAAAAUAAUGUGGCCUUUGACUCGCGACUGGAAGAGUGACUGUUGCUGUGCCCCGUGGACCUGCUGCUGCUGCUGCUGCUGCUGCUGUGGCAGUGUGCGGUGAGUGUGGUGCUUGGUGGAGGCGCAGAGCGAGGGAGGGGCGCGGCGCUGCUCUCCCGGGUAGAAAGCUGCUGAAGGAGAUGCCAUGCGCAGCCAGCCACCCCACCUCUCUCUCUCUCUCUCUCUCUCUCUCUCUCUCUCUCUCUCUCUCUCUCUCUCUCUCUCUCUCUCUCUCUCUCUCUCUCUCUCUCCUAUACGCAUAUUCCUCUCCCAGACCUUCAUCUCCUCCCCCUCCUCCCCUCCUCCAUUGCUCCAUCCACACUCCCUCCACUAGCCUCCACCGACCACCAGGAGGGAACAUGAGUCGUCCAGGUCGUCUUAACAAGCGACUAGGUGUUGACUUGGUGUUGGAAGUCGCCCGUGCAGAAGCGUACUAUCUCCAUCCAGCCAAUGAGAGACCGCGGAGUGCUGUGACGUCAGAGCGCUGAGCCAAUGAGAGCGCCGUAUCUUCUCCUGCCUCAGCCCCGCUCUGCCUCAAUCUAGUUGCACUCAUGCCCCAAAAUGCCCAUCCAUUCUACCGGUCUAUCAUCGACGCCCAAGCAGGUGAUGUCAAUAGCACUCAAGAUGAUGGUGAACACGACAACUUGGAUGAACUGUUGGAGUACGAAUCGUAAAGGCAUUGAGGGG
Scylla paramamosain (green mud crab) is the source of this 901-nucleotide long non-coding RNA. RefSeq lists it as uncharacterized. The transcript has 3 exons. The record is from RefSeq and is a predicted model, not a curated record. NCBI's taxonomy places the organism in Eukaryota, Metazoa, Arthropoda, Malacostraca, Decapoda, Portunidae.